UUAUCUAAAUUUUUAUUUAUUUUUAUAAAAAUUUAAAAUAUAUAAAUAAUUUUUAAAUAAGUUAAAUUAUUUGUAUUAAAUAUAAAUUUUAAUUAAGCUGAGUAAAAAAAAUUAUUAAAAAUAUAUAAAAAAGAAGAAAGAAAAUUUAAAAAUGAAACAUGAAAAAGGUAAAAAUAAAAAUAAAAAUUAAAGGAUAAGAUAGAUAAAAAAAAGAAUAGAGGCAAAAAUGUAAGAACAAUAAAUCAUUUUUUUCUAAAAAUUAUAUAUAAUUAUAAUAAUAAUUUCUCUCUCUCAUCUUAAUUUUUUUCUUAUUUAUUAUUUUUUUAAAUUCAAUCAGGAUCCAGUGCGGGUGGGACCCAGUAGGGGAGAGAGGAGGGAGGGUUUUUUUUUUCCCUCUGAAUAAAUUUUAAAUAGUUUAUAUUAUUUGUAUUAAAUAUAAAUUUUAAAUUUACAAUAUUGAGCAUUUAGAUAUAGCUAGAUUAUACAUUAAAAACAAAAAAAAUUGAUAGAGUUUAAAUUAAUUUUAUAUUUUAUAAAAAUUAAUUGUAAGAAUUGUCAAAAUAUCGUUGACUUGCUCAAAUCUAACAUAUAAAAAGUUGGAUAAAAAAAAUUGAAAGAUUGGAUUUAUACUUUCAUCCUUAAAAUAAAAAUAUAGAACGAAUAACACUUUAAUCCCCACAUUUUAAUGUAUUAUAAUUUAAAUAAUGAGGUAUGUAAUAUUUUUAUUUUCAAAUUUUAAUUAGUUGUUUAUUUUUUGGUUGUUUAUAUUAUAUAAUUUUUUAACUCUUUAUUUUGUUAUUUUUAAAUUUAUUUAUUUAUUUAUUUUUAUGAAAUCGUUCUGCCGCAACACGCGGGUCCUUCACUGGUAUAUGGAAAAUAAAUUUU
RNAcentral lists this long non-coding RNA (885 nucleotides) under Ananas comosus (pineapple). RNAcentral's name for it is "long non-coding RNA (ACOM_LNC030326)". Lineage: Eukaryota; Viridiplantae; Streptophyta; Magnoliopsida; Poales; Bromeliaceae. The record is from RNAcentral.